This 607-nucleotide ribosomal RNA is filed under the name Xerocomus sp. MHM131. Its description in RNAcentral is "eukaryotic LSU rRNA". The stretch from base 225 to 379 matches the Rfam family "5.8S ribosomal RNA". The record is from RNAcentral. Lineage: Eukaryota; Fungi; Basidiomycota; Agaricomycetes; Boletales; Boletaceae.
AGGAUCAUUAUCGAAUUUCGAGGGGGAAGAUGGAGGGGGAGAGACUGUCGCUGGCUUCCACUGGGAAGCAUGUGCACGUCUUCCUUUUUGUCGACCUUUCUCUUACUCUCACACCUGUGCACACAUUGUAGGUCCUCGAAAGAGGAUCUAUGUAUUUAUCAUCACACACAUCGUAUGUCUAGAAUGUAUCAUGAUCGUCGACCGGCGGUCAAACAAAUAAAUACAACUUUCAGCAACGGAUCUCUUGGCUCUCGCAUCGAUGAAGAACGCAGCGAAUUGCGAUAAGUAAUGUGAAUUGCAGAUUUUCAGUGAAUCAUCGAAUCUUUGAACGCACCUUGCGCUCCUUGGUAUUCCGAGGAGCAUGCCUGUUUGAGUGUCAUUGAAUUCUCAACCAUGUCUUGAUUGAUUUCGGGGCAUGGCUUGGACUUGGGGGUUGCUGGCGGCGAAAGCUGUCGGCUCUCCUGAAAUGCAUUAGCAAUGGACAGCAAGUCUGAUGUGCACGGCCUUGACGUGAUAAUGAUCGUCGUCGCUGGAGCAUUGGACGAGCAUGAAUGAGUCUGUUUGCUUCCAAUCCUUGACUUGGGACUUUUUCUUUCGAGCGAAGCUU